ACUAAAAAGUUAUUUGAUUUUUAAAUAAAGAAUAGAGGAAAGGAAGAAAAGAAGAAAGAAAAGAAGAAUCUUUAAGUUUUAUUAUAAUGUAAGGAAAAAAUUUUGUUUAUUAUAGAUUAUUAGUAUUGUGAAAGAAAUUUUAAGAUUAAUUAAAAGAAAAAUUGAUUUUUUGUACCUUGUGUAUCAGGGCUUAUUAAUAAAAAAAUUUUUAUAUUAAUUUUUCCCGAAUUAAUAAGAGUUACAAAACUAAAAUUUUUAAUGUAGAAAAAUUAUUAUUAAUAGGUUUGUAGGGGUGAAACGUUAGUCGUUUAUUAAUAUAUCUGGUUUUAAAGGAAAUAAAUUAAAUUUAGAAUUUUAAUAAAUAAUUUUUUAGGGGGUAAUAGUUAUUUUUAAAAUUUAGUAAUCUAGGGGAUGAGCUUUAGAUUAAAAUAAGUAAAAGAGAGUUAUUAAUAAAUUUUAAAAAAGUAGAAUUAGAAGUUUUUAUUUUAGUGUUUAAUAACUAAUUUAAUUAAUUUAUUUUAAUUUAUUUAUAUUAUUUUUAUUUACUUAUUUUACUUUAAUAUCUAUUUUAAUUAGUUAAAUUGAGAUAUAAUGAUAAGAUUAGUAGGGAUUUUUAUUGUAUAAAAUUUAAAUUGAGUUAAAGAUUAAUAUAAGGAACUCGGCAAAUUUAUUUUUCACCUGUUUAAUAAAAACAUGUCUUUUAAGAAUUAUAAUUAAAAGUCGGGCCUGCCCGGUGAAAUUGUUGUUUAACGGCCGCGGUAUUUUGACCGUGCUAAGGUAGCAUAAUCAUUAGUUUUUUAAUUGAAAGCUGGAAUGAAAGGUUUGAUGAGAAAAUAACUGUCUCAGAUUAAAAGUUUUGAAUUUUAUUUUUAAGUAAAAAAGCUUAAAUAUUUAUAAAAGACGAGAAGACCCUAUAGAGUUUUAUAUUUAUUUUUUAAGAUAAAAUAUGGGGGAUUAUUUUAUUAUUUUUAAAAAUAAGUAUUUGAUUGGGGUGAUCAAAAAAUUUAAUGAACUUUUUUUUUAUUUAGAUUCAUAGAUAAGUGAUUUAUAUGAUCCUUUUUUUAAGAUUAAAAGAAAAAAUUACCUUAGGGAUAACAGCGUAAUUUUUUUUUAGAGUUCUAAUCGAAGAAAAAGUUUGCGACCUCGAUGUUGGAUUAAAAUUAACUUUUGGUGAAGAAGCUAAAGGGUUAGGUCUGUUCGACCUUUAAAAUUUUACAUGAUCUGAGUUUAAACCGGUGUGAGCCAGGUUGGUUUCUAUCUUUAUAUAAAUAAAUUAUUUUAGUACGAAAGGACCAAAUAAUUCUUUUUUAAAGUUAAAAGAAUGAAUAUUAAUAAAAAUUAGUAAAAAGUAAAAUUUAAUUUAAAAAUAA
This 1370-nucleotide ribosomal RNA is filed under the name Ips sexdentatus. RNAcentral's name for it is "16S ribosomal RNA". The stretch from base 632 to 1370 matches the Rfam family "Archaeal large subunit ribosomal RNA", at positions 1423 to 2881 of the family's 2987-position model. The record is from RNAcentral. Lineage: Eukaryota; Metazoa; Arthropoda; Insecta; Coleoptera; Curculionidae.